This 767-nucleotide ribosomal RNA is filed under the name fungal endophyte. Its description in RNAcentral is "eukaryotic LSU rRNA". The stretch from base 497 to 767 matches the Rfam family "Eukaryotic large subunit ribosomal RNA", at positions 1 to 274 of the family's 3401-position model. The record is from RNAcentral. Lineage: Eukaryota; Fungi.
CAUUAAAGAGUUCUAUAACUCCCAAACCCAUGUGAACAUACCUAACGUUGCCUCGGCAGGUCGCACCUACCUUGUAGCACCCUACCCUGUAGGGCCUACCCGGGAGGUGCGGGUAAGCCUGCCGGCGGCCCACCAAACUCUGUUUGAUAUUGAAUUCUGAACCUAUAACUAAAUAAGUUAAAACUUUCAACAACGGAUCUCUUGGUUCUGGCAUCGAUGAAGAACGCAGCGAAAUGCGAUAAGUAAUGUGAAUUGCAGAAUUCAGUGAAUCAUCGAAUCUUUGAACGCAUAUUGCGCCCAUUAGUAUUCUAGUGGGCAGGACCGUUCGAGCGUCAUUUCAACCCUUAAGCCUUCGUUGCUUAGUGUUGGGAGCCUACGGCAACGUAGCUCCUCAAAGUUAGUGGCGGAGUUAGUUCACACUCUAGACGUAGUAAUUUUUUAUCUCGCCUAUUAGUUGGACUAAUCCCCUGCCGUAAAACCCCCAAUUUAUCAAGGUUGACCUCGAAUCGGUUCAGACAAACUCGCUAAAUUGAAGCAUCUUAGUCAGCGAAGGAAAAGAAACCAACAGGGAUUGCCCUAGUAACGGCGAGUGAAGCGGCAACAGCUCAAAUUUGAAAUCUGGCCCUCGGGUCCGAGUUGUAAUUUGUAGAGGAUGCUUUUGGCGCGGUGCCUUCCGAGUUCCCUGGAACGGGACGCCUUAGAGGGUGAGAGCCCCGUACGGUUGGACACCAAGCCUCUGUAAAGCUCCUUCGACGAGUCGAGUAGCU